This 205-nucleotide unclassified non-coding RNA is filed under the name Hevea brasiliensis (rubber tree). Lineage: Eukaryota; Viridiplantae; Streptophyta; Magnoliopsida; Malpighiales; Euphorbiaceae. The record is from RNAcentral.
AUCUUGAAUCAUCUUACGAACAUUCCUUGGAUCUUGUUGUUAUUGUUUAUUUCCAUCAUCCCCUCGCUCUUCAAAAGGAUUCGUCCUUGAAUCUGCACCUACAUCAAAAGGGGAAAGAUUAGCAACAUUAAAAGUAGCACUUACAUUGUAUUCACCAGGGAGAUCCAACUUAUAAGCAUUGUUAUUAAUCUUGGCCACCACUUGA